RNAcentral lists this small nuclear RNA (107 nucleotides) under Octodon degus (degu). The record is from RNAcentral. Lineage: Eukaryota; Metazoa; Chordata; Mammalia; Rodentia; Octodontidae.
GUGCUCACUUUGGCAGCACAUAUACUAAAAUUGGAAUGAUACAGAGAAGAUUAGCAUGGCCCCUGUACAAGGAUGACAUGCAAAUUCGUGAAGCAUUCCAUAUUUUU